UAGGGAAUCUUCGGCAAUGGGGGCAACCCUGACCGAGCAACGCCGCGUGAGUGAAGAAGGUUUUCGGAUCGUAAAGCUCUGUUGUAAGAGAAGAACGUGUGUGAGAGUGGAAAGUUCACACAGUGACGGUAACUUACCAGAAAGGGACGGCUAACUACGUGCCAGCAGCCGCGGUAAUACGUAGGUCCCGAGCGUUGUCCGGAUUUAUUGGGCGUAAAGCGAGCGCAGGCGGUUUAAUAAGUCUGAAGUUAAAGGCAGUGGCUUAACCAUUGUUUGCCUUGGAAACUGUUAAACUUGAGUGCAGAAGGGGAGAGUGGAAUUCCAUGUGUAGCGGUCAAGUGCGUAGAUAUAUGGAGGAACACCGGUGGCGAAAGAGGCACUCUGGUCUGUAACUGACGCUGAGGCUCGAAAGCGUGGGGAGCAGACAGC
Molecule: ribosomal RNA, 429 nt
Filed under: bacterium
Lineage: Bacteria
Description: partial 16S ribosomal RNA
Rfam family: Bacterial small subunit ribosomal RNA
Source: RNAcentral